UACGUAGGGGGCAAGCGUUAAUCGGAAUUACUGGGCGUAAAGCGUGCGCAGGCGGUUAUGCAAGAGAGAGGUGAAAUCCCCGGGCUCAACCUGGGAACUGCCUUUGUGACUGCAUAGCGGGAGUACGGCAGAGGGGGAUGGAAUUCCGCGUGUAGCAGUGAAAUGCGUAGAUAUGCGGAGGAACACCGAUGGCGAAGGCAAUCCCCUGGGCCUGUACUGACGCUCAUGCACGAAAGCGUGGGGAGCAAACAGG
This 253-nucleotide ribosomal RNA is filed under the name uncultured bacterium. RNAcentral's name for it is "partial 16S ribosomal RNA". It matches the Rfam family "Bacterial small subunit ribosomal RNA", at positions 524 to 776 of the family's 1533-position model. The record is from RNAcentral.